Molecule: ribosomal RNA, 392 nt
Filed under: uncultured bacterium
Lineage: Bacteria
Description: partial 16S ribosomal RNA
Rfam family: Bacterial small subunit ribosomal RNA
Source: RNAcentral
AUACGGAGGAUCCGAGCGUUAUCCGGAUUUAUUGGGUUUAAAGGGUGCGCAGGCGGCCAUUUAAGUCAGCGGUUAAAUCGUGGGGCUCAACCCCAUUCUGCCGUUGAUACUGGGUGGCUUGAUUGCGGUCGAGGUUGGCGGAAUUCGUUGUGUAGCGGUGAAAUGCAUAGAUAUGACGAAGAACACCGAUUGCGUAGGCAGCUGACCAGACCGCAAAUGACGCUCAUACACGAAAGUGCGGGGAUCGAACAGGAUUAGAUACCCUGGUAGUCCGCACAGUAAACGAUGAAUACUUGUUUUCGGCGAUAUAAUGUCGGAGGCAAAGCGAAAGCGAUAAGUAUUCCACCUGGGGAGUACGCCGGCAACGGUGAAACUCAAAUGAAUUGACGGGG